CACCUGAAUUCAAACAAGUCAUCUAUCAACAAGUCAAGCAUCUUUGGAAAGAUAAUUUUUAAUGAAUUCCACUAAAUUUUAAUCGUUUCUGGUUAAAUUGUUUUUUUAAUUAAAUCUAAUCCUUUCGUUGCUUAAGAGGAUGUAUAUGUGAAGAGCCAAAGAAGAAAUAAAGUAAAAAAAUUAAUUAAAAGGACAAACGUCGUGAAGUGAGGUUAUCUUGGCUUUAAAUCUUAUUCGAAUCCAAGUUAUAGUAAUGAAAUUAAAAGUAAAAAAGGACCAUAAACCUAACCUAAGAAUGAAGAUUUUUUUGAAAUUCUUAAUAAAACUAUGCUGAUAGGGAAUAUGAAACUGAAGAAGUUGUUCUUUGCGAGAGAUGAAAAUAAAUGUUGGCAACAAAUUUAAGCAGCAUCAAAAGUUAAACCGUUUAAUAUAAUCAAAAUAAAUCAAGUUCAUACGUUUAAGCUUAAAAAAACCUUCAAAAAAGCUAAUUAUUCAUGAUUCUUCGAAUUCGCACGAGUUUGACAGUUAUAGGUUAUGUUUACAUGUUUCGAAAUAUAAAAGAAUUAAUAUCUCGGCAACUAAUUGAGAUAUCGGCAUGGGAUAAAAACCGA
Molecule: non-coding RNA, 611 nt
Organism: Onthophagus taurus
Lineage: Eukaryota; Metazoa; Arthropoda; Insecta; Coleoptera; Scarabaeidae
Source: RefSeq, a predicted model, not a curated record